CCGGAACCCGCGCUAACUCACCCGUGUAUGGCAGGAGCGGGGGACCCACAGGUACAACCGCCUGUUCCGGUCUCCGGAACGGCUUGGGGUUAAGCCGCGCCUCGGUGCGGCCGGGCAUCUCCAGUCCGAACCCGACAGCUCACCUCGCAGGCGCCGGAGAGGAAUU
Molecule: non-coding RNA, 166 nt
Organism: Streptomyces sp.
Lineage: Bacteria; Bacillati; Actinomycetota; Actinomycetes; Kitasatosporales; Streptomycetaceae
Source: Rfam